GAUUUCAACUGAAAAAGUUAUCAACAGCAAAGUUGAACAACUCAUCAAGAUCUAAAACUUUUAUUUUGGUCAUUUCUUCACCUGGUAAAGUGAUAGUAACAUUGUUCACAAAAUUGAUAUAUCUCUUAUGUGGUUUUAUAAACUAUAACACCUAUAUGUAAAAUUUGUGAACAAUAUUACUAAUAUUUUAUCAGAUGAAGAAAUGACCAAAAUAAAAGUUUUAGAUCUUGAUGAGUUAUUCAACUUUGUUGUUGAUAACUUUUUCAGUUGAAAUC
Oryza rufipogon (brownbeard rice) is the source of this 275-nucleotide microRNA precursor. It matches the Rfam family "MIR821 microRNA precursor family". The record is from Rfam. Lineage: Eukaryota; Viridiplantae; Streptophyta; Magnoliopsida; Poales; Poaceae.